RNAcentral lists this long non-coding RNA (275 nucleotides) under Gossypium barbadense (sea-island cotton). RNAcentral describes it as "long non-coding RNA (GBAR_LNC003006)". Lineage: Eukaryota; Viridiplantae; Streptophyta; Magnoliopsida; Malvales; Malvaceae. The record is from RNAcentral.
UAUUUUGAAAAUCUUAAAAAACUUAGAAGGGUACUUGACUAUUCGAACUCAACGAGAAAAGUUGCAACCCAAUAAGUUAGGGCACUACUUUUCUCGAAGCUUUCAAAUACUAAGCAUUGCCUUUUUUAUUUUUAUAAAACUUUUAAAUAUUGUUUUAAAUGACCUUUUAGAGUGACAAUUCUAUAUUAUGAAACAUAGAUAUUCAAAUAGCGUUUAUUAUAAAGUAUUAUAACACUUUAUAUAAAUGCAAUCACUAUAUAGAGGGUAAAAUAGAA